Impatiens glandulifera is the source of this 76-nucleotide small nucleolar RNA. The record is from RefSeq and is a predicted model, not a curated record. NCBI's taxonomy places the organism in Eukaryota, Viridiplantae, Streptophyta, Magnoliopsida, Ericales, Balsaminaceae.
CUCUAAUGAUGUUAAAAAAAUUGGUUCUCCUGAAAAACAACCAUGAUGAUUAACAUGGAGUUUUGAUUUGAAGAGA